This 497-nucleotide ribosomal RNA is filed under the name uncultured bacterium. RNAcentral describes it as "partial 16S ribosomal RNA". It matches the Rfam family "Bacterial small subunit ribosomal RNA", at positions 28 to 507 of the family's 1533-position model. The record is from RNAcentral.
GAUGAACGCUGGCGGCGUGCCUAAUACAUGCAAGUCGAGCGAACAGACGAGGAGCUUGCUCCUCUGACGUUAGCGGCGGACGGGUGAGUAACACGUGGAUAACCUACCUAUAAGACUGGGAUAACUUCGGGAAACCGGAGCUAAUACCGGAUAAUAUAUUGAACCGCAUGGUUCAAUAGUGAAAGACGGUUUUGCUGUCACUUAUAGAUGGAUCCGCGCCGCAUUAGCUAGUUGGUAAGGUAACGGCUUACCAAGGCGACGAUGCGUAGCCGACCUGAGAGGGGGAUCGGCCACACUGGAGCGGAGACACGGUCCAGACGCCUACGGGAGGCAGCAGUAGGGAAUCUUCCGCAAUGGGCGAAAGCCUGACGGAGCAACGCCGCGUGAGUGAUGAAGGUCUUCGGAUCGUAAAACUCUGUUAUUAGGGAAGAACAAAUGUGUAAGUAACUAUGCACGUCUUGACGGUACCUAAUCAGAAAGCCACGGCUAACUACGUG